AGAGUUUGAUCCUGGCUCAGAUUGAACGCUGGCGGCAUGCCUUACACAUGCAAGUCGAACGGUAGAGGGGCAACCCUUGAGAGUGGCGAACGGGUGAGUAAUAUAUCGGAACGUGCCCAGUCGUGGGGGAUAACGCAGCGAAAGCUGCGCUAAUACCGCAUACGAUCUAUGGAUGAAAGCGGGGGAUCGCAAGACCUCGCGCGAUUGGAGCGGCCGAUAUCAGAUUAGGUAGUUGGUGGGGUAAAAGCCCACCAAGCCGACGAUCUGUAGCUGGUCUGAGAGGACGACCAGCCACACUGGGACUGAGACACGGCCCAGACUCCUACGGGAGGCAGCAGUGGGGAAUUUUGGACAAUGGGCGCAAGCCUGAUCCAGCAAUGCCGCGUGCAGGACGAAGGCCUUCGGGUUGUAAACUGCUUUUGUACGGAGCGAAACGGUCUGGGUUAAUACCCUGGGNUAAUGACGGUACCGUAAGAAUAAGCACCGGCUAACUNCNNNNCAGCCGCCGCGGUAAUAC
This 517-nucleotide ribosomal RNA is filed under the name uncultured soil bacterium. Its description in RNAcentral is "bacterial SSU rRNA". It matches the Rfam family "Bacterial small subunit ribosomal RNA", at positions 8 to 526 of the family's 1533-position model. The record is from RNAcentral.